This is a long non-coding RNA of Alosa sapidissima (American shad), 518 nucleotides long. RefSeq lists it as uncharacterized. The transcript is spliced from 2 exons. The record is from RefSeq and is a predicted model, not a curated record. Lineage: Eukaryota; Metazoa; Chordata; Actinopteri; Clupeiformes; Clupeidae.
CUCUGCACACACACACAGAGGAGAGAGAGGACUCAGGCUCUGACUGCCUGCCCACCAAGUGUGCCACACACUGGAGCUCACAAGCAGCAGAUGACUGGUCACAGCGCCCCUGGCCCCCUCCUGGACUGCACACCUGCCCUUCCCCGUGGAGGCGGUGAUGGGAGGAGGCCACUCGCUUCCCCCGUCACCAUCAGACGCUCACUCAACCAGACGCCCACUCACCCUCCACCUCAUUCAUCUUCUUUAGAGGCAAAUGGCAACUUUGGGUGAUUGCUGAAUUAAGAUGGGUGCCUGUGCCUUUUCUCCUGGCCCCUGCCUGGUCAGAGCACCUGAGUCUACUGCCCCAUCCCCCCUCUCAUAGGCCCCCUGCCAAAAUGAAACUCAUUUGACCUUGGGGGGGUUUAAGGGAGGUGACAGAGAGAAGCCUUUGAAAAUGUUCAGUCAGCCUCACUAUGGUCAUUCUGGCAGCUGGGCUGCGCCAUCAUUUUCUGCCAGACAAGGCCUUUCAGAAAACCAAC